UACGAAGGGGGCUAGCGUUGCUCGGAAUCACUGGGCGUAAAGGGCGCGUAGGCGGCUGUUUAAGUCGGAGGUGAAAGCCCGUGGCUCAACCACGGAAAGGCCUUCGAUACUGGACGGCUUGAGACCGGAAGAGGACGGCGGAACUGCGAGUGUAGAGGUGAAAUUCGUAGAUAUUCGCAAGAACACCAGUGGCGAAGGCGGCUGUCUGGUCCGGUUCUGACGCUGAGGUGCGAAAGCGUGGGGAGCAAACAGG
Molecule: ribosomal RNA, 253 nt
Filed under: uncultured bacterium
Lineage: Bacteria
Description: partial 16S ribosomal RNA
Rfam family: Bacterial small subunit ribosomal RNA
Source: RNAcentral